Molecule: long non-coding RNA, 2046 nt
Organism: Macaca mulatta (Rhesus monkey)
Lineage: Eukaryota; Metazoa; Chordata; Mammalia; Primates; Cercopithecidae
Source: Ensembl
CUUUGAGCAUAAGUAAAGAAUACUUACUUUAAAAUCUUUCUCCAAUUCAAAGAUUGGCAAACUUUUUUAUAAAAGGCAGGAUAGUAAAUAUUUUAGGCUUUGCAGGCCAUACAGUCUCUGUUACAACUACAGAACUGUGCCAUGUAGUGCAAAAGCAGCCAGAGACAAUACAUACAGGAAUUUGCAAUGCAGUAUUCAAAUACAACUUUAUUUACAAGACAGGCAUUGAGCUGGAUUUAACAGGAGGGCCACUGCACUAACUAUGCUAUACAACUAAUUGCAUCUGCAAGAAAUUCCUAUUCAGAUGGUUGAUUUUGCUCAUUGUCCCUAUAUGUCUCCAUGUGUUUUAGAUUUUGGUUUCUCUUUAAGAGGAAGUGGUUUUGCUGUUGUUGUUAUUGUUGUCAAUUUCUUGAUCAUUUCUUAUUUUCUUAUUACUCCCAGGCCAUCUGUUUCUGGCUGGGAAGGAAAACGGGGAGAGCAGUUAAACACAUUUUUCCUGUUCAUUACAGAUCCUGCCUUUAUCUACUUCACAGAAGAGUGCUGAGGGCAUCUAAGAGGACAAGUACUGGGAAGUCUUUUUAGAAAAACAAAAGCAAGCAGACCAAUAUCCACCUUCAUUUGAAUGUAUAUUCUCUAAAAAGAAAAUGGUAAUAUCAGAAGAAAGGAUUAAAUGCAGAUUUAAGAUUGAUAAAUGGUUAUUGAAAAUCACUGAAGAACGCAUGAUUUAAACUAUAAGGUAACCAGUACUGAUAAACAUUGUAAAGUAGUUAUCAGUGCUUAGAAUAGUACAUUGUUAGACCUAGUUAAAGUUCACUUUCUUUAACUCCAUCUUUUCACAGGUCUGGAAACUGAUCCACACAUAGGUUUCAAAUUGCUGAUAUGUUUGUCAUGUGUGGCACAUCCAUAAUGGAGUAAAUGACAUUAUGACAUCAUUUUAUGAGAGGCACUGCUUACAUGACCUUGACAAUCAAGUCCCCAACCUGGAAUAUAAUUGUCAGUUAACAUGUUACCAGUCCAGAUAUGUAUGUAACAGGAAUUUUGAAGGGCCUCUUUAACUUGGGAUCUUGAAACAUAAUACAAUGAUUGAGGAUAAAACAGUGUUCUUAUAUUAGUUUAUUACUCCCAUUCAACAAGAUGUGCUGAAACCCUGAAGAACAAAUGGCUCCCCUUUUUUUUUUUUUUUUAAGUCUUUCUUUCUUCUUCAUGCAGGUAUUGCAUAGCAUCAUUUUGAAUCCCACAUUUUGGAGUCUUACUGGCUAUCCUGGAAUGGAUUUCUUUCUUGUAGCAAGAUAUUGGUUAUUAAUAAUUACAAACAAUUCUUGGUCUCUUUAAAUCUGGAAUUAUUUAUUUAUUUAUUUAUUUAUUUAUUUAUUUAUUUGAGACAGAGUUUUGUUCUUGUUGCCGAGACUGGAGUACAAUGGCACGAUCUCAGCUUACUGCGACCUUCCCCUCCCGGGUUCAAAUGACUCUCCUGCCUCAGCCUCCCGAGUAGCUGGGAUUACAGGUGCCUGCCACUAUACCUGGCUAAUUUUUUGUGUGUGUGUGUGUGUGUAUUUUUAGUAGAGAUGGGGUUUCACCAUGUUGGCCAGACUGGUCUGGAACUCCUGAUCUCAGAUGAUCCACCUGCCUCGACCUCCCAAAGUGCUGGGAUUAUAGUCAUGAACCACCGUGCCAGGCCUGGAAUUAUUUAAAGUUCAGAUUUAUGAAUAACAACUCUUCCUUUAUUGAUUCUAAGAUUUUUUUUUCCCUCUAAAUUGGAUUAGCAAGAUGCCUUCUUGUUUUCCAGAGAAUGGCUCAUUUUUCUAUUUGCGUAGGUCUGCAGAUUUCUGCUUCUUGAAUGCUCCCUCUACUAGUGAUUUCUCCCUGCUAAGGCAGUUGGUGGGAGAGUGGCACAGAGGUUAUAUUCCUCUUCUUUUCUGUGGGGCGCAUAACAUCUAGAUUGGAAUCUGAUCUACAGAAAUAGCAUCCGGUGGAAAGAGGCAUAGACACUAUAGUACUUUCCAUAAAUAAAAUUUCAUGUAGUCUGGAUCAAGUAUAUCUGAAAUU